Cucurbita moschata (crookneck pumpkin) is the source of this 370-nucleotide long non-coding RNA. RefSeq lists it as uncharacterized. The transcript is spliced from 4 exons. The record is from RefSeq and is a predicted model, not a curated record. Lineage: Eukaryota; Viridiplantae; Streptophyta; Magnoliopsida; Cucurbitales; Cucurbitaceae.
UUCGAGUUUUUGGUUGCUUAAAAUUGGACAUCAAUCGAGGGUAAAGGAAGAGGGGUUGUUGCUGAGGAAUCUUUUGAGGAAAGGAUACGGCCCCGAGCUGAAUCGGACGGUAAUUCGAAGGGAGGAGAGGUUGAAGACGAGCGCGUGAAGGACACGCGAGGCGCGUGGGAGGCCGCGAGUGGAAGUGCGACUGUGCGAGGAUCAGGCGCGUGAGAAAACGAACAUUGACCUUGUGUUGGCGCGUGAGGGCGCGUGCGAAGGUCUAAUAGGAAGGAAUUGUGUUGAAAUACUAUUAAACGUACAUUCAAGGGGAAAAAGGAGUUCGAAACCAAAUGUAGAUGCUGCAGGCCAGCCGAGGACGAGACCAGCG